AACAUCUUUGUUUGUAUGUGGUGCUGAGGAUCGAACCCGGGCCGCACGCAUGCCAGGCGAGUGUGCUACCGCUUGAGCCACAUUCCCAGCCCCCCAAAGUAUUGUUUUAGAAUCACUUAAGAGUCUUUAAAAUAGAUUUCUGUCCUUUUCCAUACUGCAAGGCAUCAAUGUGAAUGACAAUAAUUAAGAUGACUCUCUAGAUAUUUCUGAUUGUACCACACAGGCAGGUUGUUUUCAACUUUGUUGUCCCCCAAAAACUUGACACCUGAACAUCCAUGUAGCCCACUUAAGGGAGAGUCAUACUCCCCUGACUUGUAGAAAUAAGUGCCAAGGAUUGAAGGAAUAAAAAAGGUUACAUUUAAGAGUUUUUAACAACUGAUCUGUGCAAUAAACUUGAACUUUCUUUGAAUAGAGUAAGCAGCUUUGCGUCUCUUCCACAGAAAACCCCGCCUCCUAGCCUGGCACCACAGCAGAUUUCCUAGGCUGAAUAGAGAAUAGUCAGAGUUACAGGCAGAUCCUUGGGGGAAACAUUUACAGAGUAUAAAUCUGAUUCUCAUACAAGGACUGUGUGUUGUCUAGUGUAGGGUGGGUGGUGUUGCAGCGGCAAUGGUAAUGGUGCAGCGUAAAUGUGUGUGUAUAAGCACUGUCAGAAUCAGAAAGAAAAGAGAGACAGUGGAAUGAGUUAGCUCACCAUGUAUUUACAUUCAUUGAGCUAUAAAAUUUAUCUCUAAAAAAAAAAAAAAAAAAAACCACACACAGAAAACCAAAAAACAACUUUAUUUUGUUGGAUCCUAAUCCAACCAUUUUCAGCCAAAUAGCACUUUGAUUUUACAGGAAAUAAACUCAGCAUCCCAUAGAGUUGGGGAAUUGUGGGUUGCUACUGUGAUAAAAAUUAACCAUCUGCUGAAUAUCUAAGCAAGAAUUGUUACUGCCCAGAUUCUAAGACAGAGCUUCCCGUAGAUUCAGAUGAUUUCAGAAGAAUUUUUAUGAUGAGAAUUAACUCUAAAUGGCCCAUCUGCUGACAUUCUCUGUUCCAAAUUAGAGCUGCCUCGGUC
RNAcentral lists this long non-coding RNA (1055 nucleotides) under Marmota monax (woodchuck). The record is from RNAcentral. Lineage: Eukaryota; Metazoa; Chordata; Mammalia; Rodentia; Sciuridae.